AUCAUUACUUUUUAAGAAUAUUCAUUUUCGGCCAUUUAUUUUUUGUCCACUUGAUGGAUAAGUGAAUAAUAUCGAAAAAACUUGAAAUUUGAUUUCUAGAUAGUUUAAAUGAUCUAGAUCACGUUUAACGGUACAGGUUGCCGAUUUGAAAGUCCUAUCAUCGAAAACAAAUAUAUAGCAAAUUAAGUCAUUUACUACCAAUAGUAGUCGAGCAAAGUCCAUAUUUAUAUAUAGAAAAAACCUCAAAUAUUACCGUGUUGUUUUGUACUUAAUUUCUCACUUUAGUAUCUUGUGGUUUAAAGUGUAUCAAUCUAGUAAUAUGUGGUUUCAUUUUUUUCUUUUUAUUAUCCCCUCCACUAAUUUUUUUAUUAAAUCAGUGAGAAAGUUAAAAUUAAAAGAUAUUAAAGUGAAUAUUCAAUAAAUCUAGGUGGGGUAUCUGAAGUUUUUUAUAUAUGAUUUAAUGAGAAGUUAACGAAGGGAUUGACGAAAAGAGAAAAAGGAAAACACAGCAUACUAAAGUGAUACACUUUAAAUCAUAUGGUACUAAAGUGAGAAAGUGCGAAACUAUAGGGAUAAUAUUUGAAGUUUACCCUUAUUUAUAUAUAGCAUGAUGA
This 614-nucleotide long non-coding RNA is filed under the name Ananas comosus (pineapple). Its description in RNAcentral is "long non-coding RNA (ACOM_LNC020108)". The record is from RNAcentral. Lineage: Eukaryota; Viridiplantae; Streptophyta; Magnoliopsida; Poales; Bromeliaceae.